This 3419-nucleotide long non-coding RNA is filed under the name Triticum aestivum (bread wheat). RNAcentral's name for it is "long non-coding RNA (TAES_LNC003609)". Lineage: Eukaryota; Viridiplantae; Streptophyta; Magnoliopsida; Poales; Poaceae. The record is from RNAcentral.
CCAGGGCGUUUGUUUUGAUUGUUUGUCAUUGGUGUUUGGUAAUAUUAUCAUUUUUCUUAUUUUCUUCCUUUUUUCGUGUAAAGAGCCUGUAAAGGGGAGAAGUAGGUCGAUCUGAUUUAGCUCUGCACUAGAUUGAUAGAGUGUGAUAGGUACCCCUGAAUCCCUGAUCUGUGAUGCUCCCGUGUCCAUGUGUAACUCCUAACGGACUUGAAUCUGUUCCUUAGAGGUGUCGUUUCUCUCUUGAUUGCCAUGCAGUUGUGCAGAGCAAUGUAAAAUAGUUACCUUUUGAUUUCUGUGAAAAUGUCGUCAGUUCGCAUGCUUCGCUUUAUUCAGCGUUUUUUGGUUCUUUCCUAUAGGGGAGGAGCUCCGCUGGAACCGCCAUACGGCAGCACUCCCCAGAUCUGAUCUUCCUAUCGAUAAUACUAGUCCAUCAUGAAAUGUCUGUCUUGUUCGAAGUGAGUGGAAACUUCUAUUGGUUCGAUCGUUACUGUUACAAUAUAUAUACCAUCUGAACAGAUGCGACACUUGGGAUAGAUGUGUCGGUUCGGCAGAGGAAUAGAGACGCGUCGGUCGCAUAGGCAAACCGCACGACGGUUAUGAACAGGGGCCCACUAGUCACAUGUGCUAAUUAAUCACAACACUUCCUCUAAUCCACGCUUGGCCAUGUAGAAUCAUCUCAUAAAUGUCCAGGCUUGUCAUCAUCUCAAAGAAUUCUUCUUCAAAAAAAUUCUUCAUUAAAAUCUUUGAUGAGAACCUGAGACAUAAACUCACAAAGAAAAUAGUGUAAUGUGAUGUUUUGAACAAGGAUAUCUCAAGAAGAGACCCCCCCCAUGCUUGCAAGUCCCGAAGUCGUCGCAUAUCAAUUCCAUGAACAUAUUUAUAGAAUGUAGAAUUUGAUAAGAGGCUUGGUAAAUAAACAAACAAGAUUUUCGCAUGAUUUAAUUUGCAAGACCUUUAUUUCCUUGCUUUGUUGAAGAUCAUGAGGGAGAAAACACUUAGGAGAAAUAUGCUUAGUGAUAUUACCCUUGAUGUAUCAUGUUUGCAUCUGUGCAACACAGGCUGCAUUAUCUUCAUAGAUAAUGGCAGGUGAUUCUAUCAAACCAAUUCCACAUGACUGUUGUAUGUGGUUUAUCAUUUUGCGAAGCUAUACACAUUUGCAUGUUGCUUCAAAUAAUGAAAUUAUUUCAGAAUGAUUGGUAGAUGUUGCCACCAGAGCUGUUUCGACGACUUCCAUCUAUAGCAGUACCACCAUGUAGGAACACAAAGCCGGUCUGUGAUCUGACAUUAUGGGGAUCGGAUAAAUAGCUAGCAUUUGCGUAUCCAAUCAUAUCAGAGUCCUGAUUUCUCUGGAACUGAAAAUAUAGGCCAAGAUCUUUUGUGCCUUGGAGAUAUCGAAAGAUAUUCUUCACUCCAGACCAAUGGCAUUUGGUGGGAGCUGUGCUAUGUCUAGCAAGUAGAUUUACUGCAAAUGCAAUACCAGGCCUCGUGAAAUUUGCAAGAUACAUAAGCACUCCAACGACACUGAGGUAUGGAGCUUCAGGUCCCAACACCUCUUCUCCAUCAUCCCUUGGACGAAAAGGAUCUUUCUCUACGUCUAGAGAUCGAACCACCAUGGGAGAUUUAGAUGGAUAGGAUUUUUCCAUAUUGAAUUUCUUCAGUAUUUUCUGGAUAUAGGCAGCUUGGUGUACCAUGAUUCCUGAGGGAAGGUGCUCAAGUUGAAUACCUAAGCAAAAUUUGGUUUUGCCCAAAUCCUUCAUCUCAAAUUCCAUCUUUAGAUGAUUGCGUGCUUCAUCAAUGUCUGGUGUGUUGCCAAUGAUGUUGAGAUCAUCAACGUACACAUAAAUGAUGCAAAAUCCUGUAGAGGACUUCUUGAUGAAGACACACAAGCAAUCAACACUAUUGGAGUAACCUUUCUGAAGAAGGAACUCACUGAGUUGGCUGUACCACAUCCGCCCCGAUUGCCUUAAGCUAUAUAAUGACUUAUUCAACUUUACACAAUACAUGUUGCGUUUUAGACUUUUAUUCAGGGCAGAGUUCCCAUCAGGAACCUUCAUAUAUAUGUCCGAAUCUAGUGACCCGUAAAGAUAUGCGGUCAUGACGUCCAUCAACUGCAUAGAUAGACGAUUUUGCAUUGCCAAAGAUAUAAGAUAUCGAAAGUGGUUCCACUCAUUACUGGAGAAUAUGUUUCAGUGAAAUCAAUGCCAGGUUUCUGCGUGAAACCUUGUGCUACGAGCCUUGCUUUAUAUCUCACCACCUCAUUGUUCUCAUUCCGUUUUCGGAGAAAACACCAUUUGAAUCCCAUAGGAAAAACACUGGGAGGUGUCGGCAUUGCUUCAGUGAAUACCUUUCUUUUGUUAAGCGAGGCAAUUUCUGCUUGGAUUGCAUCCUUCCAUUUAGGCCAGUCGGAGCGCUUUUGGCAGUCAACAAUAGAGCUUGGAUCAUGAUCUGCGAGAAGGGUAUCUGCAAUCUUUUCAGCAAAAAAAUAUGUCGACAGUCGUAGUUUUAUGGUCAAAUGAUUCUUCAGAAUCAACAUAGUUGAUGGAAAUUUCCUGCACCCCUAGCGACUCUUCAUGAUUUCCCAAUACGCGUGAGUCCGGGUGUUCUGAUGUCCCAGGCAGUUUGUGCACACUGGAGCUGGGUUGUGGAAGUUACCCUUCCACUGGGUGUAUACGACCCAUCACGUGUUUGUCAAUGUUGAGCUGACCUGCAUUUACUGACUCCGAGGUUUUUCUCCUCGAUUUCCUUUGCUGCUUGCUAGAAGCUUGCUCCAGGUUAGAGGCCAUACUACUCCCCCUCUUUUUAGGAAUAUGGAGUUUAGUGGUUUUUAUUGGUACCUCCACUCUUUUGGGCACAUUUCUGGCUGGAUUUAAGGAUUUUGUAACACCUUUGAGAUCAGUAAAUGAAUCUGGCAGAUUAUUUACAAGAUGUUGCAAAUUAAUGAUCUUCCAAACUUGAAGUUCAGUCUCUUGGGUACGUGGAUCAGAGGAUGAAAUGGCAUGAGCAUUCCAAUUAAUUUCCAGGCAUUCUUUCUGGUACUUGAAAUCUCCCCCUAAUGCCGGAAAAUGUUCCUCAUUAAAUAUGCAAUCAGCGUGACGGGCUGUGAACAAAUCCCCAGUCAUGGGUUCCAAGUACUUGAUAAUCGACGGCGAUUUGUACCCACAUAGAUCCCCAACUACCUGUGUGGGCCCAUAGAUGUCCGCUGUGGUGGUGAGAUCGGGAUGUAUGCAGCAGAUCUGAGCUUAUGCAGAUGGGAAAUGCUAGGAGGAUUUCCACGUACCAAUUCCAGUGGGGAAGAACUGUGAUAUGCAGUUGGCCUCAAUUAUAUCAGGUCAACAGCGUGUAAAACAAUGUGACCCAAAUAAGAGGUUGGCAAGUUGCAAUUCUUUAACAAAGGUAUGGCAAUGGCACUACAAAAAAAA